RNAcentral lists this long non-coding RNA (638 nucleotides) under Homo sapiens (human). RNAcentral describes it as "novel transcript". The record is from RNAcentral. Lineage: Eukaryota; Metazoa; Chordata; Mammalia; Primates; Hominidae.
UGGCAGAGUUUUUCAAAGUGAGAUCUGAGGACCACCUGCAUCAGUCUUGGGGUGCUUGGGUGCUUCCAUUUAAAAUGCUGAUUACUGGUUUCACUCCCAGGGGAGCGGGGUAUGAGUGUGGCAGCCUAUGUAGUUCAAAAAUAUUUGUUAUUCCUCCCUGGGAGAAAAUUAUAUCCCUCUGUCUACUGUCAGAUUUGGCCAUCGCAGACUUAGCUGUGAAUAUUUCAGCAUAUAUAUCUAAAAGAUAACUGUUUUAGAAAACAUAAUCAUGGCCAGGCGCGGUGGCUCAUGCCUAUAAUCCCAGCACUUUGGGAGGCCAAGGCGGGUGGAUCACGAGGUCAGGAGUUUGACACCAGCCUGGCCAACAUAGUGAAACCCCGUCUCUACUAAAAAUACAAAAAUUAGCCGGGCAUGGUGGUGUGCGCCUGUAGUCCCAGCUAUUCGGGAGGCUGAGGCAGGAGAAUGGCGUGAACCCGGGAGGUGGAGGUUGUGGUGAGCCAAGAUUGCGCCACUGCACUCCAUCCUGGGUGACAGUGAGACUCUGUUUCAAAACAACAACAAAAAAGAAAACCACUUUACCACUGUCACACCUAAACAACUUUGAUACAAACUUAUCAAAUAAAUAUUCAGUGUUUAAA